This 1051-nucleotide long non-coding RNA is filed under the name Felis catus (domestic cat). RNAcentral describes it as "lncRNA (ENSFCAG00000043764.2)". Lineage: Eukaryota; Metazoa; Chordata; Mammalia; Carnivora; Felidae. The record is from RNAcentral.
UCUCAAGUGAUCCCUUUUUUUCCCCACACAGAAAACUGCCUUGAGAUUAAAAAAAAAAAUCUGGAAAACACCAACUCAAAAAAAAAAAGGAAAUUCUGAAUUUUGUGAAAUCUUACAUAGUAGCAGCUCUGCUGGGACCAAAAAAUCAUGACAAUUUUCAUUGAUUCCUUUAUGGAGUAACACCGCUUGUAACGGUUUCACCAGACGACCCAGAAGAGGGCAGCUUCCUGUCUGUAUCUGCCCAAUAAGUGCAGGAAAGUGUAACCAAGCAAUGCCAAUUCCAGACACAUUCCUUGGUUUGUAUCUUGGCCACAUCCAGAGUAUUGACGUACAUCUCAUACAGCAUCCAUGUCUUCCGACUGCUGAUGUUCUCUCCGACGCGGGCAACCCUCUCCAACUGGCUUCGCUUUGCCUGCUGAGCCUGUGUCUGAGGGCCGACAUUGGCCUCAGAUCUGAACUUACACUGAGGUUUUGUCUUCCCUGUAAUCCCUCUUAAGUUUUGUGAAAGACUGAACACCCCAACUAGCUUAUCACAGCCCCUACUGGUCUGGCCAGAGGGAAUCUCUCUUUUGGGGUAAACUUUACAGCAGCUGCCCAGAGACUCUGAGCUCUGUCAAAGAAGCUGUGUACCUGGAAGGCAGACUCUUCAGAUGGAGGCACUCUGAUUUGGCUAAAAGCAACUUUGCUAAAUUUUUUUUGCUAAAAGAAGCUGACUAAAGAAAAAGGCACAGGAUCUUUCACUCCUCCUGGUGGUCUUCCAUGUUUGGAAUUCUGUGCCUCAGGGAGAGAUAUUUCUCCAGUAACGUUUAUGUUCAACAUCAGUGGCAGAAGAUUUCAAGGUGCCCAAAUGAGUAAUUCCAGUAGAAACGGAAGGUUGGACAAAGUUUCUUCUCAUCAUGAAGCAUGAUCCUGUGAAUUUAACUCUGUCAAACAAGCUGGCCUUGGCAUUUGAUUGUACAACCUUCAACAUCAACAGACCCUGAGGUUCCUCCCUUCCCUCCAAAUCAUCUCCCUCCAGUGAAAAAUGUAAGCGGUCGAUGCGAAUGAAGGC